GACGAACGCUGGCGGCGUGCUUAACACAUGCAGGUCGAGCGGUAAGGCCCUUUCGGGGGUACACGAGCGGCGAACGGGUGAGUAACACGUGGGUGACCUGCCCUCAGCUCUGGGAUAAGCCUGGGAAACCGGGUCUAAUACUGGAUAUGACUCCAUGACGCAUGUUGUGGGGUGGAAAGCCUUGUGCGGCUGAGGAUGGGCCCGCGGCCUAUCAGCUUGUUGGUGGGGUGANGGCCUACCAAGGCGACGACGGGUAGCCGGCCUGAGAGGGCGACCGGCCACACUGGGACUGAGACACGGCCCAGACUCCUACGGGAGGCAGCAGUGGGGAAUCUUGCGCAAAUGGGCGAAAAGCCUGACGCAGCGACGCCGCGUGAGGGAUGACGGCCU
RNAcentral lists this ribosomal RNA (390 nucleotides) under uncultured bacterium. Its description in RNAcentral is "bacterial SSU rRNA". It matches the Rfam family "Bacterial small subunit ribosomal RNA", at positions 28 to 417 of the family's 1533-position model. The record is from RNAcentral.